RNAcentral lists this ribosomal RNA (253 nucleotides) under uncultured bacterium. RNAcentral's name for it is "partial 16S ribosomal RNA". It matches the Rfam family "Bacterial small subunit ribosomal RNA", at positions 524 to 776 of the family's 1533-position model. The record is from RNAcentral.
UACGGAGGGUGCAAGCGUUAUCCGGAUUCACUGGGUUUAAAGGGUGCGUAGGAGGACAGGUAAGUCAGUGGUGAAAUCUCCGAGCUUAACUCGGAAACUGCCGUUGAUACUAUCUGUCUUGAAUAUUGUGGAGGUGAGCGGAAUAUGUCAUGUAGCGGUGAAAUGCUUAGAUAUGACAUAGAACACCAAUUGCGAAGGCAGCUCGCUACACAUAUAUUGACUCUGAGGCACGAAAGCGUGGGGAUCAAACAGG